CACGUAGGCGGAUUGUUAAGUCAGGGGUGAAAUCCUGGAGCUCAACUCCAGAACUGCCUUUGAUACUGGCGAUCUCGAGUCCGGGAGAGGUGAGUGGAACUGCGAGUGUAGAGGUGAAAUUCGUAGAUAUUCGCAAGAACACCAGUGGCGAAGGCGGCUCACUGGCCCAGUACUGACGCUGAGGUGCGAAAGCGUGGGAGCAAACA
Molecule: ribosomal RNA, 206 nt
Filed under: uncultured bacterium
Lineage: Bacteria
Description: partial 16S ribosomal RNA
Rfam family: Bacterial small subunit ribosomal RNA
Source: RNAcentral